RNAcentral lists this ribosomal RNA (491 nucleotides) under Vibrio cf. shilonii. Its description in RNAcentral is "bacterial SSU rRNA". It matches the Rfam family "Bacterial small subunit ribosomal RNA", at positions 35 to 506 of the family's 1533-position model. Lineage: Bacteria; Pseudomonadati; Pseudomonadota; Gammaproteobacteria; Vibrionales; Vibrionaceae. The record is from RNAcentral.
GCUGGCGGCAGGCCUAACACAUGCAAGUCGAGCGGAAACGAGUUAACUGACCCUUCGGGUGACGUUAACGGCGUCGAGCGGCGGACGGGUGAGUAAUGCCUGGGAAAUUGCCCUGAUGUGGGGGAUAACCAUUGGAAACGAUGGCUAAUACCGCAUAAUGCCUUCGGGCCAAAGAGGGGGACCUUCGGGCCUCUCGCGUCAGGAUAUGCCCAGGUGGGAUUAGCUAGUUGGUGAGGUAAUGGCUCACCAAGGCGACGAUCCCUAGCUGGUCUGAGAGGAUGAUCAGCCACACUGGAACUGAGACACGGUCCAGACUCCUACGGGAGGCAGCAGUGGGGAAUAUUGCACAAUGGGCGCAAGCCUGAUGCAGCCAUGCCGCGUGUGUGAAGAAGGCUUCGGGUUGUAAAGCACUUUCAGCAGUGAGGAAGGCGGGUACGUUAAUAGCGUGCUCGUUUGACGUUAGCUGCAGAAGAAGCACCGGCUAACUCCGU